Molecule: long non-coding RNA, 163 nt
Organism: Seriola dumerili (greater amberjack)
Lineage: Eukaryota; Metazoa; Chordata; Actinopteri; Carangiformes; Carangidae
Exons: 3
Source: RefSeq, a predicted model, not a curated record
GGAGUCAGGGCAUACAGGGGUAAUGGCUAAUUGUUCAUCAAAGUUAGCUCCAACAUGUCUGCCUGAAACUGCGUUCAGUUGUUCUGAAAGACACUCAGAGGAGUCUGCGGUUCAAUUUUUUUCCGAAGGAGGACCUCAUGUACAGAGCAGCCCGUUUGUUUCC